This 1108-nucleotide ribosomal RNA is filed under the name Clostridium tyrobutyricum. Its description in RNAcentral is "bacterial SSU rRNA". It matches the Rfam family "Bacterial small subunit ribosomal RNA", at positions 33 to 1164 of the family's 1533-position model. The record is from RNAcentral. Lineage: Bacteria; Bacillati; Bacillota; Clostridia; Eubacteriales; Clostridiaceae.
ACGUGGCGGGAUGACCAUCACAUGCAAGUCGAGCGAUGAAACCCCUUCGGGGGUGGAUUAGCGGCGGACGGGUGAGUAACACGUGGGUAACCUGCCUCAAAGUGGGGGAUAGCCUUCCGAAAGGAAGAUUAAUACCGCAUAAAGCCAAGUUUCACAUGGAAUUUGGAUGAAAGGAGUAAUUCGCUUUGAGAUGGACCCGCGGCGCAUUAGUUAGUUGGUGGGGUAAUGGCCUACCAAGACAGCGAUGCGUAGCCGACCUGAGAGGGUGAUCGGCCACAUUGGAACUGAGAUACGGUCCAGACUCCUACGGGAGGCAGCAGUGGGGAAUAUUGCACAAUGGGCGAAAGCCUGAUGCAGCAACGCCGCGUGAGUGAUGAAGGUCUUCGGAUUGUAAAGCUCUGUCUUUUGGGACGAUAAUGACGGUACCAAAGGAGGAAGCCACGGCUAACUACGUGCCAGCAGCCGCGGUAAUACGUAGGUGGCGAGCGUUGUCCGGAUUUACUGGGCGUAAAGGGUGCGUAGGCGGAUGUUUAAGUGAGAUGUGAAAUACCCGGGCUUAACUUGGGUGCUGCAUUUCAAACUGGAUAUCUAGAGUGCAGGAGAGGAGAAUGGAAUUCCUAGUGUAGCGGUGAAAUGCGUAGAGAUUAGGAAGAACACCAGUGGCGAAGGCGAUUCUCUGGACUGUAACUGACGCUGAGGCACGAAAGCGUGGGUAGCAAACAGGAUUAGAUACCCUGGUAGUCCACGCCGUAAACGAUGAGUACUAGGUGUAGGAGGUAUCGACCCCUUCUGUGCCGCAGUAAACACAUUAAGUACUCCGCCUGGGAAGUACGAUCGCAAGAUUAAAACUCAAAGGAAUUGACGGGGGCCCGCACAAGCAGCGGAGCAUGUGGUUUAAUUCGAAGCAACGCGAAGAACCUUACCUGGACUUGACAUCCCCUGAAUAACCUAGAGAUAGGCGAAGCCCUUCGGGGCAGGAGACAGGUGGUGCAUGGUUGUCGUCAGCUCGUGUCGUGAGAUGUUAGGUUAAGUCCUGCAACGAGCGCAACCCUUAUUGUAGUUGCUAACAUUCAGUUGAGCACUCUAACGAGACUGCCGCGGUUAACGC